UUGACUACUCAAGUGCACUGUCAACAGUUUAAAACAAACUCAUAGCUCUGUUUGUCAGAGAGCUGCAGGAAACAGCUUUAAUUUAACCGGCAGCAACUACAGUUCAAGCUUUUGCUGGUUUCUGUUUUGAUUCUGGUCAUGUGUACUGAUGCCAUGUUUUACACACCCUCUCUGUCUUUCUUUACAACUCUUAAGGGUGUAAUCUCUUUCUUGUAAUACCUAAUACUUGCUAUCAGCAGCAAGCUAGCACAGUGUGAGUGCUAAGUAGCAGGAUUACUAGUUACCUAGCAUAAUACCUAGCUACCUUGCUUGCUAGCAAGCAAAAUAAAAUCCCAUCCGCUGUCACAGACAGAUGGAUUCUCGUUGUCUCUCGGUAAUGGCCAUGUCUGUCACACGAUUGCGCAAGAGGAGUUCCCUGCUGAAAAAUCCAUCUUGGUGUGACAAGAUACCAGCUGCCAAAACUGGCCAUGCUAGCAGACCAUCUUUGCUAGCUAGAUUAUGUUGACAACAAGACCAUUUUUUCAAGACAAUUGCAUCCGAUUGCAGUGGCUCCUGAGUCAGUUCUGUUUCUGAUGUCUACACUGAUGCUGACUCAAUCCCACGGACCACCAAGGAGUCUCUGUUAGAAACUGUCGGAAGACAACAUCCUGUUCACACACCGACACCAUGGUGACCAGUGACAUCAUGGAGACAGAAAUCCUCAUCCCUAUAUAAACAGUUAACUUCAGAAUUAUUGGCACCCUUUAUGGAAAUGAGCAACCAUGAAUAGCUGCAAUGCAAUA
This is a long non-coding RNA of Pangasianodon hypophthalmus (striped catfish), 782 nucleotides long. RefSeq lists it as uncharacterized. Lineage: Eukaryota; Metazoa; Chordata; Actinopteri; Siluriformes; Pangasiidae. The transcript is spliced from 3 exons. The record is from RefSeq and is a predicted model, not a curated record.